RNAcentral lists this ribosomal RNA (427 nucleotides) under uncultured bacterium. RNAcentral describes it as "partial 16S ribosomal RNA". It matches the Rfam family "Bacterial small subunit ribosomal RNA", at positions 355 to 774 of the family's 1533-position model. The record is from RNAcentral.
UAGGGAAUAUUGCACAAUGGGCGCAAGCCUGAUGCAGCCAUGCCGCGUGUGUGAAGAAGGCCUUCGGGUUGUAAAGCACUUUCAGCGAGGAGGAAGGCAGUCGUGUUAAUAGCACGAUUGAUUGACGUUACUCGCAGAAGAAGCACCGGCUAACUCCGUGCCAGCAGCCGCGGUAAUACGGAGGGCGCAAGCGUUAAUCGGAAUUACUGGGCGUAAAGCGCACGCAGGCGGUUUGUUAAGUCAGAUGUGAAAUCCCCGCGCUUAACGUGGGAACUGCAUUUGAAACUGGCAAGCUAGAGUCUUGUAGAGGGGGGUAGAAUUCCAGGUGUAGCGGUGAAAUGCGUAGAGAUCUGGAGGAAUACCGGUGGCGAAGGCGGCCCCCUGGACAAAGACUGACGCUCAGGUGCGAAAGCGUGGGGAGCAAACA